RNAcentral lists this long non-coding RNA (317 nucleotides) under Fukomys damarensis (Damara mole-rat). RNAcentral describes it as "lncRNA (ENSFDAG00000025159.1)". The record is from RNAcentral. Lineage: Eukaryota; Metazoa; Chordata; Mammalia; Rodentia; Bathyergidae.
GUGUGUUUUCCCUAUUUUCCUAUAGCUGAGCCUCCUCCCCAAGAAGGCCUGGAAGUGAUGGGGCAUCCCAUAUCCAGAAGACCUAGAGGCUUUCCAGUGCUAAAUACCAACAGGAGAAACCGCUCUGAUUCACUCUCAGAUCACCCGGGCCCAGAUAAGACAACUGCACUCUUCAAUCCUUCAUUUCAGCAUUAUACUAAUUGCAGCAGCAUGUGAGACGUGGAGCAGCAUGGUGGUAUUCAAAGACCCACACAUUGUAAUCCUAGAACUGUGAAUACAUUCCAGUAUUGACAAAUAGAAAUUAAGGUUUCCAACGC